AUUGAACGCUGGCGGCAGGCCUAACACAUGCAAGUCGAGCGGAUGAAGGGAGCUUGCUCCUGGAUUCAGCGGCGGACGGGUGAGUAAUGCCUAGGAAUCUGCCUGGUAGUGGGGGAUAACGUCCGGAAACGGGCGCUAAUACCGCAUACGUCCUGAGGGAGAAAGUGGGGGAUCUUCGGACCUCACGCUAUCAGAUGAGCCUAGGUCGGAUUAGCUAGUUGGUGGGGUAAAGGCCUACCAAGGCGACGAUCCGUAACUGGUCUGAGAGGAUGAUCAGUCACACGGGAACUGAGACACGGUCCAGACUCCUGCGGGAGGCAGCAGUGGGGAAUAUUGGACAGUGGGCGAAAGCCUGAUCCAGCCAUGCCGCGUGUGUGAAGAAGGUCUUCGGAUUGUAAAGCACUUUAAGUUGGGAGGAAGGGCAGUAAGUUAAUACCUUGCUGUUUUGACGUUACCAACAGAAUAAGCACCGGCUAACUUCGUG
Molecule: ribosomal RNA, 484 nt
Filed under: uncultured bacterium
Lineage: Bacteria
Description: partial 16S ribosomal RNA
Rfam family: Bacterial small subunit ribosomal RNA
Source: RNAcentral